RNAcentral lists this ribosomal RNA (105 nucleotides) under Salmonella enterica subsp. enterica serovar Schwarzengrund. Its description in RNAcentral is "partial 16S ribosomal RNA". The stretch from base 1 to 93 matches the Rfam family "Bacterial small subunit ribosomal RNA", at positions 1441 to 1533 of the family's 1533-position model. Lineage: Bacteria; Pseudomonadati; Pseudomonadota; Gammaproteobacteria; Enterobacterales; Enterobacteriaceae. The record is from RNAcentral.
CUCGGGAGGGCGCUUACCACUUUGUGAUUCAUGACUGGGGUGAAGUCGUAACAAGGUAACCGUAGGGGAACCUGCGGUUGGAUCACCUCCUUACCUUAAAGAAGC